GUAUAUUAAAAAUUUAUUUAAAAAAUAAAUACUAAAAUUCAAACCGUUAAAGUUCAGUGCUUGAAUAUUGUUGAGCAUCUUUUUGUGCAAGUGUUGAAAUUAAACACAUGAUGAGCUAAGACGCAACAGCUAAUUAACAGACUCAGUUCUUGCCCUUCUUCCACUUCAAAUGUUACACCAAACCAACAUUCUUUCCAUGCUCAUGUCACACCAAACACAAUCAAACCUAGUUACAACACACGCAACUCCACGAGGAAAAGAAAAGCAUUCGCAAAAGCUUUGCGAUUGUACAAAUUAUUUUCAGAGCUGUGAAAUUUCGAAUUUGAGAAAAAAAAUUGGAUAAAUCACAGCUCACAGGGCACUUGACCCUAUCAACUUGGUUAGUCCAAACGUUAUGGCCAUAGCCAUUAGUCCUCCAACCAAAACCCUAGCAGAAGACCUAACCACUGGUGCCUUCCCCAAUACAGCCCCUAAACACCCAAAAACCACCAAAGCCAAACUCACUGCACCAACUACGACACCUAGCCUCGCGUUAUAGUUCCUUAUAAAAGAAGCAGCCAGUAGUGGCACCAUUGCACCCACUGAAAAGGCAAGAGCUGAGGCUGCAGCUGCUUGCAGUGGAUUUGGCAAACUCUCUUUCUCUCCUUUUUCUUCACCUCCAUUUUCUUGUUUUCCUCCAUUAUUAUUACCUCCUCUUUGCUCGUCUCUUUUCAUCUGAGCCAACUCUAUGUCCAACUGUGAGUACACAGACACAAACUCACCUAUUGCCAUACUACAAGCCCCAGCUACCAACCCUGCAAAACCAGUAAGUAUCAUGGCCUUGAUGUCUUGUUUCACAGCACCAACACCCAUCAUCAGCGAUGCAGUGGAGACCAAACCAUCGUUGGCCCCAAGAACAGCUGCUCGUAGCCAUUGUGCUCUUUUUGAGUAGUCGAAGUCCUCCUUAUUGGCUUCUUGAAGCUCUAGUACUGUCCCCUGUUGCUCAACAUCAUUAAUUGCCGGAGGAAACUUAUUAUUGGUGUUGGUUGCCAUGGAAGAAAAUGAUGAAGGAUUGGAAAUGAUAAAGAUGUAUUAUAAUGGUGAUAGUGAUUGAGGAGGAGGAG
RNAcentral lists this unclassified non-coding RNA (1103 nucleotides) under Hevea brasiliensis (rubber tree). Lineage: Eukaryota; Viridiplantae; Streptophyta; Magnoliopsida; Malpighiales; Euphorbiaceae. The record is from RNAcentral.